This 2452-nucleotide long non-coding RNA is filed under the name Sorghum bicolor (sorghum). RNAcentral describes it as "long non-coding RNA (SBIC_LNC012191)". Lineage: Eukaryota; Viridiplantae; Streptophyta; Magnoliopsida; Poales; Poaceae. The record is from RNAcentral.
ACAUCUUAUGGUACUUGACUAUCACUUUUAUAAGCUUCUCCUUGGUUCUGGCGUUCAUAUGAAUAAAAGAGACAAACAUGUAUGAUUUAUAACUCCAAAUUAACCAACCCAACUGAUUCAGCAUCUUUAGUCCUUUAAUCUUUGUUCCUAGUACUACCUCCAUGAUCCCACACUCCUAAUCAUAUGAGCUAAAAUGUUGCACAUUCAAUAUUUGAGAAGAUAUAAAGAAAAAGACAUAUACAUAGAUAGAUUAUCUUUCCAUAAGGUUGAGCGAUCUGAUCUGACAAAUAUUUUAAAUACUACACUCAUGAACUUAUCACCCAUCAACUUUGUCUUGCUCCCUAUGCUUAAGGAUAGAGAAGAACAAAUAGUCUUUUGGUUCUGUUCGUGUUUUCCACCAAUAGGGCCCAUGCACUUGAUCUCUGUCUUGUCUCUAUGAGAAGGCAUACUUCGAGCAAAACAUGGAGGAGUUUUACAACUCCUAGAUUUCACCAAGUGAAUGACCUGGAUCUACGAGCACAAACACACUGAGCAGGAUGCUGCCAAUGCCGCACUUCGAACUGCUAGGCAAACGAAGAACAUGGGUGACACCAUAUCAACAAGUGCAGACAUCAAGGUUCACACCAAAAUCAAAUGACGCACCUAAAGAAUGAACACGGUGAGAAGUCUUGUUCAGAAGACUUAAAAUAUUGAACCCUCGCCGAAAGGUAAAAUCGGUAGUUAUCCAUAUUUAUCCUUUCUGCAUUCCCUUUUCCCUUAAAUUAUUUACAUUCCUUAAAUGGCUUGCUAGUUAGUCAUGCUAUCUUGAAAAGAAAAUAAAAAUGUUAAAAAUAGUAAGACCCAUGUGAGUAUGCUCGUGGCAUAAAACCCAUAAGUACAUUCACUGUGGUGGUGUAAAAAUAAAAUAAAUAUAUUCCUGUCCUAUAAAAAUGAAAAUAUAAAAAUAAAUUUAUGAUCCUACCAAACAGAGUAACAUUUAUUAAGGAGGCUCAACAUGAUAAUGGCUAGAUAUUUAUGCUAACACUUAACUAGUUCCACAAAGCUUUGUUGUCUAUUUGAGCUCCACAGACUUCAAGGAUUAAAGAAGACUAGCAGACGGAGGAUAUCCUAAUCACUGUUAGGGUGCUGCCGACAUUCAAAUACACCUCCACCACCUACUAGCUACAUCAGAAGAAAUUACGUCAAAAUCCAUCUUGGGGGAGAGCACCCCCAUUUAUCCAGCUAAGUGUUUCUACUCAUGUUUAUACUUUACUCAAAUAAUAAAAAGAUGCAUAAUCAUAAAAACCCAAAUAAAGAUUUUUGUGCUUAUAUGUAUAUCUUUGCUUAGUUUGCUAAAUAAAUAAAUAAAUAAAUGAAGUUUGCUAUGAACCCUCAUGAUAAGCUCUCACAUAGAAAAUGAUGAAUAGUUGCUCUACCAUGACUAGUUCUCAAAAUUGAAAUCUCUCUCAAGUUUAGGCAUGACUCUUAUGAAUUAAGAUUUGCUCUAAACCUGAACUUGUGGGAAGAGUACUUGAUCUAAAGUCUAAGUCGGUAACGGAUAUGAUAUGGGAAGGUUGAGCUGCUGUUUAUCUGUUCCUAGAGAUGCUAGAAUUCUGGAGAAUUUUAUCUUUGAAAAUCUUUAAAAUGUUGCAUGAUGAGUUCCUGUAUGAUGAGAGUUUAAAAUCCUACCACAGCCAUAUAUACAUGCUUAUUAGACUAUGAACCAUACAUUUACUUUUUACGGCUUAUGAGCAUUGAGUGUGGUCAAGCUAUGUAGACCCUUAGGAGCUUGUCCUGCGGUUAAAAUCAAGAUUCACUUGCACGUUCACUCAUACAUGCUGCUUCUACUCCGGAAGUACGCUUCCACAUACAUCCACUCAAUUCCAUCUCCAGAUUCACCCAAAAUUAUUCUACUCCUAUCGAGGAGAGAAUAGCCAAAAACAUUAUGCUAUCCCUGUUAUUUCCCGUGAAAUAAAUGCUCGAGAUAUUUUGGUUACUACCACUUGCUACAUUAUUCGAGGAGGGUGAGUGCUCUAAAAAAAGGAAAAAUACGAGGAAACAAAAAGGGGCAAGUGCCCGGAACCUCGAGGAAAAGAAAAAGUGAGACGAGAGGUAAAAAUAGACAAGUGUCCGACAGUAGAAUUAGGGGUACAAGAUACCCACCUGAGAGAAAAGAAAAAGAAAAUAUAGAGCAUCUGAUUCCCCUCAAAAAGCUUCAAAGUGCAAGAAAGGUAUGUAUCCCCUCAAAAGAGCAAAAGUAGAAUUAGACUUUCACCAUUGCUUUCACCAUUAUCACUAUCAUUCGCCACACAUGCACAUCUUAAUUUGACUUAUUGACUUGUUUCUCUAGAUCCAUGGUUUGACUAUGCAAUAAAUGUCUUAUAAGUAUGUAUUAGCUGUCUCCCACCAAUAAGCUCCAGAUAUCAAAACCCUAAAAAUACUACAUUCUUUGAGAGAAGGCAUAUACCAUCAC